RNAcentral lists this ribosomal RNA (497 nucleotides) under uncultured bacterium. RNAcentral's name for it is "partial 16S ribosomal RNA". It matches the Rfam family "Bacterial small subunit ribosomal RNA", at positions 29 to 507 of the family's 1533-position model. The record is from RNAcentral.
AAUGAACGCUGGCGGCGGGCCUAAUACAUGCAAGUCGAGCGAACGGACGGGAAUCUUUCUUCGCUGAUGUUAGCGGCGGACGGGUGAUGCAUACGUGGAUAACCUACCUAUAGGACUGUGAUACCUUCAGGAAACCUUAGCUAAUACCGGAUAAUAUUUUGAACCUCAUGGUUCACAAGUCAAAUACGGUCUUGCUGUCACUUAUAGAUGGAUCCGCGCUGCAUUAGCAAGUUGGUAAGGUGACGGCUUACCAAGGCUACGAUGCAUAGCCGACCUGAGAGGGUGAUCGGCCACACGGGAACUGAGACACGGUACAGACUCCUACGGGAGGCAGCAGUAGGGAAUCUUACGCAAUGGGCGAAAGCGUGACCGAGCAAAGCCGCGUGAGUGAUGAAGGUCUUCGGAUCGUAAAACUCUGUUAUUAGGGAAGAAGAUAUGUGUAAGUAACUGUGCAGAUCUUGACGGUACCUAAUGAGAAAGCCCCGGCUAACUACGUG